This 1560-nucleotide long non-coding RNA is filed under the name Parus major (Great Tit). RNAcentral's name for it is "lncRNA (ENSPMJG00000011337.1)". The record is from RNAcentral. Lineage: Eukaryota; Metazoa; Chordata; Aves; Passeriformes; Paridae.
GCACCAUUUUUCAAAAUUUAAAAUUCAAGUCUGUUGUAUUUUCAGACCCAUAAUCAGAGUGGUUUCAUUUGCAAAUCACUAAGGAGACUGAGAACUCCAGAUAUUUAAUUUAUUCAAAUCACCCUGAGAGGUUCAUCUUCACCUCUGUAGUGUACUUUUAAUUUUAUUCUAAAUCUACUAAUUCUCAGCAAACCCUGAUAGGAUUUGGUUUCUGCAGUCAACUUUAAUCCCUUCAGAGUGGCCAAACCAAUGAAAAUGGUCAAUAGCUAAGGGGAUGGUCAAUAUGGUCAAUAAAUGGUCAAUACAGUAAGGGGAUCUAAAACUUCUCUCCAGUUUUGUGGAUCUGUAACUCAAAGAGAGCAUAACUGAAUUCCACAGCAGUAAAAGGCAACUUUGCAGUCUGAAUCUAACACAGAUUCAGAAUUUCAUUUUUGCUAUUUAUGACUUAAUAUUUUAUUGUUCAAGAAGGAAAACCUUAUUGUACUGAGCAAUUCCAUGUUGUGUCAUUGUAAAUAUUUCCAAUAUGGAGUCCAUCUGAACUACCAUUAUUAAUCCCCUUCACAAACAGCAGGGAAGUACAGAUAUUAGUGGGUGAUUCAGAUAAAUGUCUAAAAAAGAAGAACCCUGUAAUUGACGGGUUUUUCCCAAUGUUUAUACAGGAUCAUAGGGAACUCACUCAGAUGUAGACAUCCACAUUAGGGAUGGCUCCCUUCAGGUGAGAGAAGUUUCAUUUCUUUUCAGAAGAAACCAGUUCUGCCCUUUUCCCUGUCUGCUGGAGAGAAGAAUAAGAAAGCUGUUUCUCCUCCACAUGAUAGCAUCUGGAGAUAACAGAGAAGAGCCUUUGGGUUGAGCAUGUAGAGAAGAUGGAAGAAAGAAACAAAGAAGGAGGAAAAUCUGUGUGUGUGGAAUAACCAUGUUAAGAUCCUUGUCAGCCUUUUCCUGAGGCCAUCUUCUGUGACAUGGGAAAGGCAAAGGGCUGUGUUUAUUUGGGCAAUACUUCUGUUUGGCUUUCCAAGGACAAACAGACCACUGGAGAUGGUGAACACUCUGUGUGCACAUGGCCUUUUCUAAUGGACUGUGGUGGAGUGAUCUGGCAGUUUUGCCACUUUGAGGGUUCUUUGCUCUCUAGGUCACUGGCACAAAGAAUAUUUUUGAUGUCAACAUAGAACAAAGUUCCCUGUGAUCAGCUGCCUGUUUACUGCAAACUCACCUAUGGCUAAAGCCUGUUUAGAAGCAGAAGAAACUCCAGUACAGCAGGACAGUGAACCCUGGAGCAAAAGUCUAUAGCAAGCCUUCUCACAGGUGAAAACGAUGGGCUUGUCCACAUCAAAUUUUCUUUCUGCCAGGCUCCCUGACUGCUGGGACCCCAAAUUUCUUGACCAUCAAGGAGAAGGUUAUUUAGACUUUAUUUUUAUUAAGCAAACAAACACUUCCUCACAAGUAUCUGCAAAUCUGUCAUGGCUUCUCACACAACUCUGCACUGUUAAUUAAAUUGUGUUUCGCUAACACACACAUUGAAUAUAAAAAAUCAUUAAAUAAAUAACCUGCCUUUUCUCUUCA